CAAGGGAGGCGGAAUCUCCCGUCACCGGCCUCGAAGGCCCUCGGGGGCUCAGGGCGGGGGCCAGUCCAGGAAGCAGCGAGUCCCACCAGUCGCAGGACGCCCCGACCCGCAGCGGCGCCCCCACCCACGGCUCCGGGACAGCCGCCCAGCGCCAAACCACUCCCCGCCAAGGGCGUCAGGGGAGGGAGGAGCUUGACUGGGGCUAUAGCAGAAGGAGUUCGUCCAGUACCUGUGCUGAGACUGUGAGGCUGCCGUCGCGCGCCGCGACAUUCACGCGGCUGUGGUGCCAGGCCGCUCCUACUCCUGCCAGGGCGGCGCCGGCCACUGCCGCAGCCAAGGGGCCGGGACUCGGCAGAGCCCGUCGGCUGGCAGCGAGCCCCCGUCGCAGUCUUCCGCCCCAGGCCGCCAGCCGAGCGCAGCUCCCCGCAGCCGCCGCCAUCUUUGCGGAAGCGCAGCUACACAGCGCUUGUCUCCUGGCGCCACCGCCAGCGCUGGGAACUCUCGCGACAUUCGACAGGCUUCAGCCCCGCCUACCGAGCCUGCGCCGUGGGUGCGGCUGCUGAGGCGACGCUCGGAACCGCAGGAGUUGACAAACUGUAUCGAAUGUGAAAUGUGUGCCAGGCAUGGAACCACACGUUGAUGACAGCAAGGACAAAUAGGAUACAGCUUCCCGGGGACGGGCUGUGCUCUCACACAUUGACCUGUGCCCUCUAUGCUGAAAACUUUUAAAGCUGUAAAAUGUACAUCUCACGCACAUCAAAGAUGGUGACAGAGAAGAAUUAAGAAAUACAGCAUGUCCAGAGGAGCAAGGGACAAGAUCUAAAUAAUUUCGUGAAAUGUUCCUUGAUCGCAAGAUUUCCGCAGAAAUGUUCAAGCCUGUGAUAUGUAUUCUUGUGCACUGAGACAUCCAGAAUAUCAUAGCCUGUCCUUAACUGUGCAGAAGACCAAGCCACUGAGUAAAUGCAAAUGCUUUGACAUUUUUAUUUGUUUCUUAAAAACCCAAAUAAAAAUUUCAAUUUCAUCAUUCA
Molecule: non-coding RNA, 1028 nt
Organism: Macaca mulatta (Rhesus monkey)
Lineage: Eukaryota; Metazoa; Chordata; Mammalia; Primates; Cercopithecidae
Source: RefSeq, a predicted model, not a curated record